GCGCUUGUGGUCUAGCGGUUAUGACUCCGGCCUUCCAAGCCGGGUGCCCGGGUUCAAAUCCCGGCGAGCGCA
This 72-nucleotide transfer RNA is filed under the name Candidatus Woesearchaeota archaeon. RNAcentral's name for it is "tRNA-Gly". It matches the Rfam family "tRNA". From Rfam's summary of the family: Transfer RNA (tRNA) molecules are approximately 80 nucleotides in length. Lineage: Archaea; Nanobdellati; Candidatus Woesearchaeota. The record is from RNAcentral.